This 233-nucleotide long non-coding RNA is filed under the name Vigna radiata. Its description in RNAcentral is "long non-coding RNA (VRAD_LNC008684)". Lineage: Eukaryota; Viridiplantae; Streptophyta; Magnoliopsida; Fabales; Fabaceae. The record is from RNAcentral.
CAGAAGGUAAAAGGGUAUGUCAUCUCUACACUCAUAUUCUUCUCCUGUUAUUAUACUUUAAAAUUUUCUUCCAAAGUUUUUUUUUUUUUUUACACACAGACAAUGUUUUCUUAAAAUCAUGAAUUUUUUUAAAUAUAAGUGCGUAUCGGCCUAUGGCCAGUUUCUUUUCUUCUUUUUCCACCAUUUUUUUAAACACAAAAAAAAUACACAAAAUAUUUAAAACCAAAAGGUCA